UGGAGCAUGUGGUUAAUUCGAAGCAACGCGAAGAACCUUACCAGGUCUUGACAUCCCGAUGCUAUUUCUAGAGAUAGAAAGUUACUUCGGUACAUCGGUGACAGGUGGUGCAUGGUUGUCGUCAGCUCGUGUCGUGAGAUGUUGGGUUAAGUCCCGCAACGAGCGCAACCCCUAUUGUUAGUUGCCAUCAUUCAGUUGGGCACUCUAGCGAGACUGCCGGUAAUAAACCGGAGGAAGGUGGGGAUGACGUCAAAUCAUCAUGCCCCUUAUGACCUGGGCUACACACGUGCUACAAUGGGCGGUACAAAGGGUAGCGAUGCCGCGAGGUGAAGCCAAUCCCAAAAAGCCGUCCACAGUUCGGAUUGGAGUCUGCAACUCGACUCCAUGAAGCCGGAAUCGCUAGUAAUCGCGGAUCAGCAUGCCGCGGUCGAAUACGUUCCCGGGCCUU
RNAcentral lists this ribosomal RNA (448 nucleotides) under uncultured Streptococcus sp. RNAcentral's name for it is "bacterial SSU rRNA". It matches the Rfam family "Bacterial small subunit ribosomal RNA", at positions 933 to 1382 of the family's 1533-position model. The record is from RNAcentral. Lineage: Bacteria; Bacillati; Bacillota; Bacilli; Lactobacillales; Streptococcaceae.